UGACAGAGUUAGGGAGGGAGUGACUAGUGACAGAGUUAGGGAGGGAGUGACUAGUGACAGAGAGAGGGAUGGGGUGACUAGUGACAGUCACCCCCUCUCCUCUCACUCUGUCACUAGUCACCCCCUCUCCUCUCACUCUGUCACUAGUCACCCCCUCUCCUCUCACUCUGUCACUAGUCACCCCCUCUCUCACUCUGUCACUA
This is a non-coding RNA of Pelobates cultripes (western spadefoot toad), 203 nucleotides long. NCBI's taxonomy places the organism in Eukaryota, Metazoa, Chordata, Amphibia, Anura, Pelobatidae. The record is from the annotation of a GenBank genome assembly.